GCUGCCAGCAGACGCUCUGACAGCGUUGCACUACUGUGCAGCCUGCAGCAAGCAGUGCAAUAGCAUUGUCAAAGCAUCUGAGGGCAGC
RNAcentral lists this microRNA precursor (88 nucleotides) under Petromyzon marinus (sea lamprey). RNAcentral describes it as "microRNA pma-mir-301b precursor". Its record names the gene pma-mir-301b. It matches the Rfam family "mir-301 microRNA precursor family". Lineage: Eukaryota; Metazoa; Chordata; Hyperoartia; Petromyzontiformes; Petromyzontidae. The record is from miRBase by way of RNAcentral.